GCAUCUCUGGUCUCCAAACAUGUACAGAUCUGGAACAAUUCCUUAGCCCUUAAGAAUACAUACACAUGAUAACACCAUGUCAAUAUUUCUUAUCUGUUAUCAUCUAUUGUGUGUUUUCUGCUUUCUUAGACAAAAAAAAAAACACAGCUGUUUGUCCUGGUCCUGAAGAGCUCAUGACGUACAAAGGUAUUGAGGCAGGUCAAGGGAAUUCCUGCAGCACAACAGACUAACAUGAGAAGAAUGUUUGCUUGUGACUGGACGCAUAUGCUCAAUGCAGAUUUUUGAAAUGGAAUUACUUUUUCUAAAGAAUUCAGCACGCAGCGUGUUCCUAUAACCUGUCAAUGAUGGUCAGCUAUCCUCCUGCGGAUUCCAGUUCAUAUUGCAGCCUGUUAUGGUCCUGGAGGACCAUGCCCCCAUGUGCUGCAGCUGUCAGUGUGUGGAAGAUCAAGAUGUGAAUUGCUGUGCUGCCUAGUGGGCCUGUUAGCCAGCCCAGACACGGUUGCCAGCACAGCCUCCACAGGCACAUUACCCCUUCCAUUUCCAAGAAGGAAGGCUAAUACCGAAGGAUAAAGCUAAGUAUCUCACACAGCCGAUGGAUUACCAUGAUGCUCCAAAGCAUCCAGCUACUAAAUGAGACAAAGCUGUGAGGUUUUCACCAAAGACGAAGGCAUUUAAUAGCAAUCUAAUUCUUACGUUGCAGAGGUGCGGAGGGAACAUCAGCCCGCUGCCUCCUACAUUAAUCCUCUAAGGAGGCAGCCUCAGCCAAGGUAAAACCAAAGACACCUUAAUCUCCAGAGAACCCCAAUCCCACCCGGAGGGCUUAGCAGGGCUUGGAGCCGCCGACCUGCGAGCAGGGCUGCAGGCAGCGCCUGGACCAGCGAGUUACAGCCCAGCCCGGUGCCCCCGCGGCUGCUGCCAUCCCUGAGGCUCUCCUCAGGGCGCAGCCACAGCCGUGCUCCCGGCCUCCCUCCCUCGCUUCCUCCGGACCCAGACCCGGCCCCGCCGCCCGCCAGGUGGCGCCGGGCUGCUGCUGUGACAGCCACUGGUGCCCCCGGUCCGCGACGAGAGGAGGACGGCGGCAGCCCGUCCCGAAAGCCCUUCAGAAAGCGGUGAGGGGAGAAACCCGGCCGUGCCGUACCGCCCCGCGCCGCGUCCGGGGCCCGGGAGCGCCAUUUUGUGAGCGGGGGGCAGCGGGAGGCCGCCCCGGGGGAGGCGAGGUUUUCCCUUGGCGUGAUCCAGCGCCUGUUGUGUGUCUGGAGAAGAGAGGAGCACUAUCAGACGUCCAACUCAAAUGCUACGUCACGACAGAAAGAGGAUUACACAUAGAGAUUACAGCUCUCAGCAUACCACAUAAGUAUCUAACAGAAGCAUUUCAUAUCAGAAUUAGAACUGCUACUGGAGAAUUCAGCGUUCGGGUAAUUCGAUGACUGUCCUGUAAGUCAUGUCAGCUACAACUGGAACACAGCACGGAGAGGAAAUCCAUCAAGUGUCUGAAUGCAUGGAUGUUUGUGUUGCUGAGUUAGCAAGGGCCUAACAAUGGUGCAUGAUGUCACUUCUUAUCUCUAACGCCUUUGCGGUAAUCCACUGCUGCAGUUGCUGUGGGAUCCGGACAUAUGGUAAAAACUCAUAAAGGCAACAGUCCAUAAGGUCAACAGACAUAUGUCUGAAAGGCCAAAAAGUUAAUAUGCUGAGAAGUCUGUAAACCAGGAAGCUGAAAACAAAGUAAGUAUCAGGUGUGUUUCCAAGAAGGGAAAAAGGCACUUUUGAAAGACUGGUAAGAAAUUUAUUUCAGAAAUGUUUUUGUUACUUUUUUUUUUUUUUUAAUUCAGAACAAAGUUUGCAUACAAUUCUUUAGCUGAGUAAAUAUCAUUAAAGAAACAAAACACAACUUCUUCUACCAAGAAGUGUGAGAGAGCUAGAAAUAAUAUGUAUGUCAGUAGUACAUUAACUCUUUCUUAGGCCAGUGUAUACUGUUUCUCACUGACUUCUGGAUACUCCAAAGUGUUUGAUCUUGCAGGAAGCAAGCACAUGUUGAAAACGUCAGUAUUCAGAAGUGCCGAGCCUAUACUGUGUAAAAUACAAAUGUAAACACUAUGUAUUACUUCAGGAAAAUUUUAAUUAUACUAUGCUGUUUCAAACUAAGAUAUAUUUUUAAACAAGAGAUAGGUUGUUAAACCGAGAGGUUGUUAAAUAAUGUUAGAAUCAGAUUAAUGCACAUUCUGGCAGUUACAGAACACAUUCACAAUUAGCAGAUAGUGUGGAUAGCUGGCAAGAUUUGUUGGUUUUCUAUUGCUGCUUGGUUUGCUGGCUUCAUUUUGGAAUUAAUCAUGGAAAAUGCUAUAGAUGUUAUAUUACAGAAGUAAGGAGAACUCUAUAUGGCAGCUUUACUUGUCUCUGACUUCACUUAGCCAUGGUGUCCAAGAUGCCAAAUUGUGCUUCUUUUCCCACUGUCAGCAUGUACUUCUGGUCUGAUGCAGUGUCCAACAGCAUUGAAAUCCUCAGGCCUAUUUGUCUUUACAUUCCCUUUAAUUCUCUUUUGUUACCUUUUUGUCUAAGUCCUCCUCUUUCAUCUUCUUACCUGCAGAAUGCUGCAACCAAUCUUAUCGCUCAGACUAAGAAUAGAAGUAGAUCACCUUGAAAUGACUCCUCGGUCCUUUAAGAAUACAGCUCAAAACCACCUCUUUCUUUCAGAAAUCUAUACGGAUUUUCUGCAGUUUACCUCAUGGAUAUAACCUUUAACUUGCCUCUCCAGCAUCACUUCUUUUUUCUUUUAUCUUUCUGUCUUCCUUUCUUUUUUUUUUCAACCUGCUUCCUCUUUUUUUUUUUUUUUUCCCUUUACAGCCUGUGCAAGCCAUUAAUGUCAUCGUUUUCUUCUCUACAUUUCCUGCCAUCUGUAUCUUGCUAACUUAACACAUCCCACCUUCUUUCAGACUGCAUUGUAUAACAUACCCCUUUCCCCUUGUCAGUGCCUCUGGUUGCUUUCUGCCUUAAUUCUAUCUAUACUAGAAUAAUUUAUUCACUAAAUUACAUUUUAUAUGUUUUCUGCAGUCUAUACCUUUUGUUGUUACUCUCAGUGUAGAGUGUUUUCUCUUUACAGAUGAUGGAUUGAGAGAGAGGCAAAGUAUGUUAAUCACAAGCAAUCAGGGCAUUGAAACCGAGAAACAUUUCACCAAAGUGGCUGACAGAUGGCUCUGCGCUGUAGUCUGUUUAUUUCAUAGCUAUCUCGCUCUUCCGUACUGUCCCUAUCUUCCAAAAGUUGACUGGUCUUGUUACUGGGAGCAGAGGUCAGGUAACAGCUGUGGUGCCCAGUGUUGACACUGUUCCAAAGGUCAUACUUUACAGUCUACAAAUUACUGCUGUCAAUAAGGGAGGAAUGGGUAGGAGUUAGAAAAACUCAAGAAGGCAGUGGAGUGCUGUCCUAACAUCCAAACAAUUUGUUCCUGAUUUUCCCAUGGGAGUUUAGUCUCCUGGUGUUUUCUUGAACAAAUAUUCUGACUAGUACUGUGUCUACCUAGAGAACGUAAAUUUUUCCAGAGAGAUUGUUCCAGGGUAAGCUAUUUUUCUGAACAUUUUAAUCAGAAAAAAAAAAAAAAAAAAAACAGAAUGGCCUUCAAGAAAAUGGAAAGCUGCUUUACAAAAGUAGUAUUUAAAGUAAAAUACCGCGGUAAAUUAAGCUUUUCCUAUAUUUCGUUGCUGUUGUGUGUUACACAGUAUCCUAAUGCUAUAUGCAGUACUGCCUUUAAAAGAAAGAACAUCAGCAGCAGUUUUGCUAUAGAUUUGGUCUAACAAACUCUCAGUUUCCAAAACGUUGAAAAGUCUUUUUGAACAUCUGUACUCCUUUCAUCAUGCAAAUACCCUCCUACUGGUAUAGUUACAGCUAAUUCCCUCUGAAUAAUACUGCUGUAUUCAGGAAUAGUGGCAUGACACUCAAGCUAAUGGUCUAUACAUAUUCUCAGCUUCACAAAGACAUGAGGAAUGAUAGAUUUUUACAGCUGUUGCCAUUGGCAUCAUUUCUGCAGAGUGAACAUGGUAUCUUUUAGUGGUGUUUUUUUAAGAGGACUUGCUUUAGGACUUUGUAUUUGUUUUCUUACAUAAAUUUUGUGUGCAUUGUAGGUAGGUACUAAGGAGAGGUAAGUGAUGAAAAAGGCAUGAUGUGCUAUUUGCUGCAGGAAAGGAGUAUCUCAUUUUCAGUGCUUGUAUCCAUGAAUAGUGAUGUCCUUGUGACUCAGCACUGUUAUACAGGAAAUCACUAUAAAAUUUUAAGGAGCAUAUGUGAAAACAGUUACGUGUACCAGAAGUAAGGCGGUAAUUUGUUUAAAUUUACAACAAAUACAAAGUUUACCUCAUCCCUAAUCUACUGUAAAUUUUAAUUAUAUAAAAUUCAUUUAUAGUCAAAAUCUGUUUGCGAAAGUUAUAGUUCAUUUGGGCAAAGGAGCGGGGUGAUGCAAUACUUCAUAAGGUCGUUAGCUUCUCCAGCAGUUCUUAGAACAAUUUUUAGUAAUUCCAUUCCUUUUCUUAGGAUAGCCUAGCAAAAUAGUUUCAGAAGGAUUAUUUGCCCUUGUUUUUCCUGCAGAUUAUGCAAAUCUUAAAAGAUGUGGAACCUCCCCCAAAGAAUCUAUAAAACACAUGGAGUACUGUCAUCAUUUUAGCUAUGUGACAGUCUGCAGAGCCUUGCUUGUUUCUUUUCAUCUGAGGAGAGAGCUUAUGCUUACCAUACCAGGAAGAGGUGUGUGUAGGUGGGCUUGCACUUUUUAGGCCUUCAGAAGAUACGGGGGGAAGUAUAAUAAUAGCACUUGAAAUUUAGACUUUGUUUAACUUCACACAGCUUUGCAAGAGAAUCAGGUGGCGCAGGGAGAUUUUUUUGGCAAUUUUAUUUGUGUGUGUAAAUCAUACCAGUCUGUCUUUUGGUCAGUAUACUCUGAAGCAAAACUGGGGAUACUUUUGCUGUAAUGUUUUGUAAAAGUGCCCAGUAUGUCUUUUUAUGAGGUAGUGUGGGUAUCUGAAGGAAGAUAUCUGAAGCCAAUCUUCAUAUAGUUAAGUUUCUCUUCAAGAAGCUCAUUUAAAGUGGACUCUGAUAUACUGAACUCCUCUUAAUAAAACAGAGAUUUUUCUUAAACA
Molecule: long non-coding RNA, 5118 nt
Filed under: Anser brachyrhynchus (Pink-footed goose)
Lineage: Eukaryota; Metazoa; Chordata; Aves; Anseriformes; Anatidae
Description: lncRNA (ENSABRG00000013402.1)
Source: RNAcentral